Molecule: ribosomal RNA, 253 nt
Filed under: uncultured bacterium
Lineage: Bacteria
Description: partial 16S ribosomal RNA
Rfam family: Bacterial small subunit ribosomal RNA
Source: RNAcentral
UACAGAGGUCCCGAGCGUUGUUCGGAUUCAUUGGGCGUAAAGGGUGCGUAGGCGGCGGGGCAAGUCUGAUGUGAAAUCCCAGGGCUCAACCCCGGAACUGCAUUGGAUACUGCCUUGCUCGAGUACUGGAGAGGGAACUGGAAUUUACGGUGUAGCAGUGAAAUGCGUAGAGAUCGUAAGGAAGGCCAGUGGCGAAGGCGAGUUCCUGGACAGUUACUGACGCUGAGGCACGAAGGCCAGGGGAGCAAACGGG